This 585-nucleotide long non-coding RNA is filed under the name Apteryx owenii (little spotted kiwi). RNAcentral's name for it is "lncRNA (ENSAOWG00000012386.1)". The record is from RNAcentral. Lineage: Eukaryota; Metazoa; Chordata; Aves; Apterygiformes; Apterygidae.
CCAUAUGCUCCUUCAGAAGAGCUUGCUGGUCUUUGCAAAGUGAAACAGCUGGGGGCACGCCUCGGCUUUCCUUUCCCUCCACCAUGCGUGCGCCCACUCGUCCGUCUGGAGGCUGGUCCUUGAGCCGCGAGGGCAGACAGCAGCGAAACCUGCGCCCCAUGUCCCUGCUACUGCAUCCGUGCCAGGCUGUGCCACCUGCAAUGCUGUAUUUGGAAGACUUUUCGGAGAGAGUACAGCUGCAGCAGUAUCCAGACCCCUUCCUCCCUCUACGCAAGGAGAACUGGGGAAACUGGAACAGAAACAGCCAAGAGUUACGGCAGCAAACAUGAGUACUACGUGUUUUUAUUGUUGCCAAGUGAUCACAACUGCCGUGUGUGCACAGCACAACUCUCGUGGCCCUCAGGUGCCCGAGAGGCAGCAGCACAGCAUAGCAGCAGUCUGUUCCCAGCUUUGCAGUACAUUUCCUCUGGGACACUCGGCAAGAUAUUUAAGCUCUGUGCUACUUAAAGGCUUCAAAACUGUAAAAAGAAAAACUGUUAAUACUGAAACAAGAUGAACAUAUGACUUGAAGUACUUUCUUCAAAG